RNAcentral lists this long non-coding RNA (1026 nucleotides) under Canis lupus dingo (dingo). RNAcentral describes it as "lncRNA (ENSCAFG00020008525.1)". Lineage: Eukaryota; Metazoa; Chordata; Mammalia; Carnivora; Canidae. The record is from RNAcentral.
CCCGGGCGGGGGCUCCACGGCCAGCAGCGACCAGUCCGGGGGGGGGGGGGGUCCCCGGCCGUGAGUAACAGCAAUGCCCGGAGCCCCAGGCCAUGGCCCCUAGACCGGACCCACACUUCAGGGCUCUCUGCUCAGAGCCGCACCUCCCCAAAGUGGCUGUGCGCCCUCCCUUGUCCCAGCGAGCGUCCACCCGCAGGGCCCCCAGGUGGGCUCAGGCUCAGCAGCCCCCCGCCUGCCCGGUCCCCCUGGAGCACACGUGGCUCCCGGGGCUGCCCGGGCAGCGGCUCCAGAGCAGUCGGGCUGGGGCGGCAGGGAGGGGCUGUGUCCCCGCCCCAGGGCCUGCCAGCGGUCACCCGGAGCGCCCCGGUCCAUCCGCCCUGGCCUCCCCAGAGCCAUCCCCAGCGUUCGGGUAAUUUCCAGCCUCCGCCCCUGAUUAACGGCUGCUCUGGGGCUCUUUCCUCCGGCCCCAGCUGGAUAAACAGGCCCAGCCCUGAUAGGCCCGAGGAAGGACGGGAGGAGGCGGGCGGAGAGGCCAGGAAGCCAGGGAGGGGCCAAACUGGAAAAACGAGGUGCCGGGCCAGGGGCUUGUGCCAGGGUCAGUGUCCAGGGACCACCCCGGCAGAUUACCCCAGGGUGGAGGGCAGCCCCUCACCCGCCCCUGCCCUGCUCAGGCAGCCGGGCAACCCGGGGUGGGGUGGGGGGCCCAGCCUCGACCUCCCCGCCCCUGGGGCCCCAGCCUCAAAGCUGCAUCCUGCACUCGGCCAGCACCCCGUGGCCCCCGCGUGCCUCUGAGACAGUGGCCAUCCAGCCGCGGGUCACACACGACAGCUGCAAACCCCAGCCCCUCCCUGGGUCCCUGUACUGCAGACACCCUGGGGAGCCCGGUCUCGGCCCCCACUUCAGAGAUGAGCCAACAUUCACGUGCCCGGGGAUCCCAGCUGGGGAGCUCCAGGACGAGCCCCCGGGGCCCCCGGAGGAUAUGGUCUCUCUGCCAGCGACUCAGCCCCUCUCACCAGGACACUGAUG